UACGAAGGGGGCUAGCGUUGUUCGGAAUUACUGGGCGUAAAGCGCGCGUAGGCGGACUGGUUAGUCAGAGGUGAAAUCCUGGAGCUUAACUCCAGAACUGCCUUUGAUACUGCCAGUCUUGAGGAUGGGAGAGGUGAGUGGAACUGCGAGUGUAGAGGUGAAAUUCGUAGAUAUUCGCAAGAACACCAGUGGCGAAGGCGGCUCACUGGCCCAUUUCUGACGCUGAGGCGCGAAAGCGUGGGGAGCAAACAGG
RNAcentral lists this ribosomal RNA (253 nucleotides) under uncultured bacterium. Its description in RNAcentral is "partial 16S ribosomal RNA". It matches the Rfam family "Bacterial small subunit ribosomal RNA", at positions 524 to 776 of the family's 1533-position model. The record is from RNAcentral.